AGCGGCGCUGAUUACUACGACUACGGCCACGGGCUCAGCGACGAGACGUACGAUUCCUACGGGCAAGAGGAGUGGACUAACUCGAGACACAAGGCUCCCUCGGCGCGGACAGCGAAGGGCGUCUACCGAGACCAGCCAUACGGCCGCUACUGAUUGUACUGACUUUCUGAUGUUGUGAAAUAGCCCAUCUCCACCCGUCCUGUAAACUGUUCAAAGAGACAUGGGCCGAGUUGCGAAGCCGAAGGAAGGCUGGGCCCCGGCGCCGAGCGGGUGAGCGUCUCCUGCCCGCGGCUGUGACGCGUCGGGAAGAUGGCGGCCAUUUCUCGCUCAUCUAGUCGCACGGGCGGUGCCCCUGGCUGGUGCCUCUUACCAGCACCGGCGGCGGCGGCAGGUUAACGGGUCCCGUCAGAAAUGAGGCUUCUGGAGACGAACAAGCCAGCCCAGCUCAGCUUUGUUUACACACUCAAUUACUCUCUCCAACAGAAAUGGAACAGCCUAGCCCGGCCGGCGUGGCUCAGUGAUUGAGCCUCAACCCAGGA
This is a long non-coding RNA of Myotis lucifugus (little brown bat), 539 nucleotides long. RefSeq lists it as uncharacterized. NCBI's taxonomy places the organism in Eukaryota, Metazoa, Chordata, Mammalia, Chiroptera, Vespertilionidae. The transcript has 3 exons. The record is from RefSeq and is a predicted model, not a curated record.